RNAcentral lists this RNase P RNA (373 nucleotides) under Enterobacter cloacae subsp. cloacae. RNAcentral describes it as "RNase P RNA component class A". It matches the Rfam family "Bacterial RNase P class A". From Rfam's summary of the family: Ribonuclease P (RNase P) is a ubiquitous endoribonuclease, found in archaea, bacteria and eukarya as well as chloroplasts and mitochondria. The record is from RNAcentral. Lineage: Bacteria; Pseudomonadati; Pseudomonadota; Gammaproteobacteria; Enterobacterales; Enterobacteriaceae.
GAAGCUGACCAGACAGUCGCCGCUUCGUCGUCGUCCACCUUCGGGUGGAGACGGGCGGAGGGGAGGAAAGUCCGGGCUCCAUAGGGCAGGGUGCGAGGUAAACGCCUGGGGGAAACCACGACCAGUGCAACAGAGAGCAAACCGCCGAUGGCCCACGCAAGUGAUCAGGUAAGUGAAAGAAUUGCAGUAAGAGCGCACCGCGCGGCUGGUAACAGUCCGUGGCACGGUAAACUCCCACCCGGAGCAAGGCCAAAUAGGGGUUCAUGGUACGGCCUGUACUGAACCCGGGUAGGCUGCUUGAGCCAGUGAGCGAUUGCUGGCCUAGAUGAAUGACUGUCCACGACAGAACCCGGCUUAUCGGUCAGCUUCAAUU